This 214-nucleotide ribosomal RNA is filed under the name uncultured bacterium. RNAcentral's name for it is "partial 16S ribosomal RNA". It matches the Rfam family "Bacterial small subunit ribosomal RNA", at positions 1288 to 1500 of the family's 1533-position model. The record is from RNAcentral.
UCAGUUCAGAUUGUAGGCUGCAACUCGCCUACAUGAAGUCGGGAAUUGCUAGUAAUCGCGGAUCAGCAUGCCGCGGUGAAUACGUUCCCGGGCCUUGUACACACCGCCCGUCACACCAUGAGAGCCGGUAACACCCGAAGUCAGUAGCCUAACCGCAAGGGGGGCGCUGCCGAAGGUGGGAUUGGUAAUUGGGGUGAAGUCGUAACAAGGUACC